RNAcentral lists this long non-coding RNA (1326 nucleotides) under Olea europaea subsp. europaea. The record is from RNAcentral. Lineage: Eukaryota; Viridiplantae; Streptophyta; Magnoliopsida; Lamiales; Oleaceae.
ACCCUCUAAGAUUCAUUGAGCUAACUAACUUUUAAGUUCUAACAUUUGGUACAAUGAAUUAUCAUUAUCAAAAAUAAACGUGCUGAAUGAGAAAUUGAUCGUUAAUAGUUGAGAUUGUUUUCUAUGGAAUUGAACAGUUCAUUAACCUGUUCGAUAGAUUUAUAAAAGUGGUACUGUUGAAAUGAUCUAAAUAUAACAUCAUUAAAAUCAUCCAUACAAUGAUUCACAUGUCCUUGGACUUUUAAUAUAUUAAAGUUUAAAAGGCAUAUUACUCGUACAGAGAUGCUUCAUAGCAUCUAGUUUGCUCCUUCUCUCACAUAUAUAUUAAUUAUCUGAAUUAAUUUAAAAAAUUACAAGAAAAUGACAAACGACUCCGAUUCAAAUUGUGCAGUUAAAUUACUCAACUUUUAAUCAAAAUCCUAGUAGAUUGUUUUCAUCCGUUUGACGGUCUUAGGUUGAACCAAUGUUACUUGGAGGCCAAAUCUCGUCAUAUAUAUAAUAUUUCCCAACAAAAUAUUUAUUUUGAGGUGUCAAAAUUUUAAGAAGUAAUAUUUCAAAAAUUGUUUGGUAGGGGAUUUGACAUUUCCUAAAUUUGAGUCCUCAAAAUUAUAAUGAGGUAUUGAGAAUUUAUUGAGUAGACGACAAAAAUAGUAAUUGGAUGCCAAACAUAACCAAAGCAACUGAAAAAUGACAAGACGAGGUGCCCAUUGAAAAGUCAUAGGCGCCCAUUUGAUCCGUAUAUAUAUAUAUAUAUAUAUAUAUAUAUAUAUAUAUAUAUAUAUAUAUAUAUGUAUGUAUGUAUGUAUGUAUGUAUGUAUGUAUGUAUGCAACUCUACUACUUAUACAUACUUUGCAAAGAGUUUAGUAAACAAGUAAGAAUAUUGAUCCAUACACAAUCAAUCAACAUUCCAUCACGAUGAGACUAUGGAGGCUUUAAAAAUAGCACUUUUUAUCAUUGCAGUACUUUCACAAGGUGGUAUGGAUUGAUAAACAGAAGCUUGCUGUGGUUGAUACUGGUAAACGCAAUCUACCUUUUCUUGUGCAUGUUCAUAUGAUGAUGGUCUUGCUAGACCAUAAUUAGGUUUUGGUGGUGUGCGAGGUGAUCUCUUCUUUUUUCCAAAGCACUCGUCCAAUAAUGCAAGUUCUUCGCAGCCAAUCUUCACAAGACUUUCUUUAUCGGAUUGAGAUUCCAUGUCUCCUGCAAGUUAAAGCUGUAGAGAAGUUACAAGAGAAUGUAAGGCCAUUCCUUUGAUAUAAAUAUCAUAAUGGCCAGUGGAGAUUAAAGUAGAAGGGAUAAGAAAAAAUAUGAUUUUCUAGAUUCCUAAU